CAGAUGCGGCUUGGAUCCCUUAUGCCUGUGGCAUAGGCCAGCAGCUGUAGCUCCGAUUUGACUCCUAGCCUGGGAACUUAUCAUAUAUGCUGCGGUGCGGCCCUAAAAAGCAAAAAAAAAAAAAAAAAAUCCUAGUGUAAUUACUUAUGGAGUAUGAUUUCUUAGAAUAAACAUUGUUUUUGGCUAGUUUGCCAAGGAAAACUUAAAAGGGCAGAUAGGAGAAUUAAAGAUCAUAUAUUGUUGAAUUCAGUCAGUCACUUUGAGCAUUAUCAAAUACACCUUAGCACUAUGUGUAUCAAGGUGUUUCAUUUCCAGAAGUUUGGAAGGAGGGUGGAAUAUUUCAGAAAUCUUUAAUGCUAAUGGUCAUCUCAGCCUUGGCCCCUGUUAUGACUUGAUUUGAAACAUGAAAUGACUAGAAAAAGUUGCAGCUUUUGUUAGCAUCCAAUUUAAUACCCUUUGAAGUUGCCUUGGGCAGCCAUAGGCAUUCCAAGAAUGCCAUCAACGCUCAGAAAUUUUUGGAACUUGUUUAAAAUUGCUUUCGGAGAAAAUUUUAUGAGCAACUAAGAGAAGCAGCCUAUUCAGUAUGUUCAUUUUAUUUGCCACCCUUGGGAUGAAUCUUGGCUGUUUCCGAGAAUUAUCUUUUUCUCAGUGGAGAUUUGCCACCCUUAAGAUGGCAUUUGGCAUGUUUAGAAGAAUUCUAUGUGCUCUGAAAGCAAUCGCAAACAAGCCAUUUCAGUAAGUAAGUGGCUGCCAAGGUGAGUGCUUUGAAAAUAUCAUGCCUCAUUCAGCAUUUGAACACAGGGAGAAGUAGAAAUUCCUACUAACAAGGAGCAGGCAUUUCAGUGGGGAUACAUGUAGUAAAGUAUUACCAAGACCAUAAAAGAUACACAUAGCGUAAUUAUCCAUCCCCUUGCAAAUGGUAUUUAAGGGGAGCAGGGAGGAGUAAUGUAGUGAACAAUGGCUCUUCUAAAUUUAGAGUAUGUUUCUUCAGCUAAUGUGUAUUGUGCUCCCACUAUGUACCAAGGCAUUGUGCUAGUUUGAGGUUUCUCUUUCCCUUGUUUUUGGCAGGAUGGAGACCUGAAGCCUCUGAAAUAUUGCUGAAUUAUCAGUGAAUGGUGUUGCUGACUGUGAUGUACAUAAUUUUUAAAAAUUCAUGAUUUCCUCUAUCUGCACUAAAUGUUCUACAAUAGUGUCCAGUGGGAAUACAAUGCAAGUCACAUGUAAUUUAAAAUUCUCUAGCAGCUGCAUUACAAAAAGAAAAAAAGUAAUAGUUGCAAUUUAUUUUAAUACUUUUAUUUAACCCAAUAGUAAAAAUACUUUAACAUGUUAUCAAUAUAAAAAUUUAGUUAUUUACAUUGAAUAUUUUUUCAUAUUGAGUCUUCAAAACCUGGGAUCUUACACUUAUGUCUCAUUUUGGAUGAGACACAUUCCAAAUGCUAACUUGGUAGCAACAAGUGGCUAGUGGCUACCGCAUUGGACAGUGCAGUUCUAGAACAAUAUGAAAGAGAGUGAUUAAAGUGGGUAGGAUGCAAAUAGAGAUGUCUUAAAAGUUAACCUGUAGAUAGGCACACCUUAUCUGCUCACCUACACUAUUCCAGAACUAAAUAGGCAUCAUGUUUUUAAUUGUGUCUUAGAGCGUCUGUCCAAGCUUAAAAAACCACCAUCUUUUUUUUCCCCUUUUGAGAUUAGAAGAAUGCACUCUCUACCAAAGCCUGAAAUCUAGCCAUUAACAAUUAGCAAAAGACCUUAUCUGGUUGAGGGCUCUUAUAAUUAAAAGUUGGGGAAGCCAAUCACAACUGCAGCAUUAUGUAGCAGCCAAUAAAUCGCAGUUACAUUUACUUCUUGCAGGACCAAACACCCAAAGUUUAAUGUGGAUUCUCUUAGUUCAGUUAUGUUAAUACAAAUAAUUUCCAAGCAGUUGCUCUAUUGCCUGAAAUUUCUACAUUUAAAUAUUCUUGGCAUUUUAAAGAAACUGCUAACUUGGAUUUACAACCUGUUUCUACUUUGUAGUUAAGAUAGUAACUUGUAAUAUAUGUGUUUAAAUGAGUUUCUUGGGGUGGAUGGGGGGAAGUUAGAUGAAUAAAGCCUACCAGAUCAGACUUCAGCCUCAGUGAAAGUAUUUCUCAAGACUAAAUCUCUGAUGCCAUUGCUGGAAGUUUGUUUUGUUUUGUUUGGCAACAUGAAGUGAAAUAUUAACUCCUAUGAAGAAAGAGCUUUUGGUGUUGAGAUUUUGGAAAAAGCUGAUUCAUUUGGCUUGGCUUUAAUUGUAUUUUCUGUGUGAAUGUAAUGUAACAUUUUCUGUGGUCUUUUUAUUUAAGAAUCUGAAAGCCCCUUUAGUAGUAGAGAGUGGAUGUUGGUUUCUAGCAUGGGUGACAAACCUAUCUCCAGCAUGUGAAUCUGACUGCUAACUUGGAAGAGGCCAGAGGAGCACUUCACCUAGCUUCUUUCAAAAUCUGAGUGUAGCCCGUCUAGAUUUAAGGUUACAAAGAAGAGUUGUUUUGUUUUUUCUUGACCCUGCCCUUUCCUGGCAGAAGGAAAAGAAUGGAAGAGUGUCUGAGACUCUGUUAGCAUGAAGAUAGGGGAUUGUUCCUAAGAGACCAACUCGGUAACUAAGCUAAACCCAAAUUUUGCCCUAUUGCUAGAAUGGAGAAGAAAACUUUGCCAAUAAUUAAUGCUAUCUUCUCCAUCUGAAUUAAUCCCCUUUCUCCAUAUGUGAGGACUAGCAUCAUCUACAUUUUUUCUCUCUUUAGGGUCGCACCCACAGCAUAUGGAAGUUCACGGACUAGGGAUCAAAUUGGAACUGCAGCUGCUGGCCUACGCCACAGCCAUGGAACUUGGGAUCCAAGCUGUAUCUGUGACCUAUGUCACAGCUUGCAGCAGUCCUGGAUCCUUAACCCACUGAAGGAGGCCAAGUUCUUAAUACAUUGAGCCACAAUGGGAACUCCCAUCAUCUACGUUUUUAAAUAGAAUAAUCAUUCAGCCUAAUCUACUAAAUAGAAAUACAGCUCAAGCUUCAUUUUAGUGAUAUUAAAUAUAGCUCAAACUUCAUUUUAGUGAUAUUAUCUAACAGCCCUUGUACACCUAUGGGCACUGAUUGGGCCCUUUCCCUUGUAAUUUUUUAAGUCUGAGGUCAGAAUCACCUGGAAAAAAAAGCUGAAGAAGCCAUUCUUGUUCAUUCUCUCCAUCCCACCCCAAAGUGUUCCCUUCAGUUCACACUAUUAGAAUACUUGAUCUUGAAUACCUUAUGAGUUAAACUGGCCAACAUACAUUAACUAGGCCUGGCUUCGGCCUUAUUUUCUGUUUAAAAAUGCCAGUUUACAAAUCAGCCUGGAAACUUGAGUGGGCAACAUUCCUAACCCUGACAUCUUUAUCAAUGACUGAAGUAUCUACUUAGAACUGUUCCAGAAAGGUCCUGUGAGACCCACUUGAAAGCAUACUGUGAUAUACAGCACCCAUUCUCCAAUCACAAGUAUUGAAUACACACUUUUAUUGCACUAAAAUGUUAAUGUGAAUUGUCAGCCUGGCCCUGAAAGGGAGAGGGAGAUGGUAAUAGAUUGAUGAAUAGAUCAAUAGAUGUGUUUUAUACCCACCUCUUUAUUGGCACUGGACUAGGCUUUUUCACAUUUGUCCUCUAAUUUGAUACUCAUAACAACUGAGGGGCAAUUGGAUGUUUGCAUUUUAUAACAGAAUCUGAGGUUAAAUGAUAGGCUCCAGGUCCUACUGCCAGUACUGGUCAUCAAGAAUCUUUUCAGUUGGAAUCUGUCCCAAGCACCAUUCUAGGUGUAGGGGAUACAAUGGUGAACAAGACAAAGGCCCUUGCCUUCAUGGAGCUUACAUUAUAGUAGGGAGAGGUAGAUAAACAUUUGUAAAUACCAAUUAAGACAGUGACUAAAAGUCGGGAAAAAUAAAAUGCUGUGAGGUGAUUGUAAAUGGAGUAAAGUGGUUGGCAAAGACUUUUCUGAGGAAGUAAAGUUGAGACCUGAAUAUUCCAGUCCCAGGAAAUGAGCUCCACUCAUUGUUUGGAGGAGGAAAAGGAACAAUGUUAGAAAGGGGAAGCAGUAAGAGAUAAGGACCAGUUCAUGCGGGCUUUAGAGCCCAGGAAAAGGAGAUAGUAAUUUUAUUCUGAGAUGAGAGAAGCUGUUGGGAUCUUGAUCAUGGGGGUGAAGUGUUCUGACUUUAACUCCAUAGUGGCAUAAUCAGGGCAAGAAGACAGACCUGACUCUAGUGGCUGCAUGUGCUAUGAUACCACAGAAGACUCUCCCUUCCCUGCCCCUUUCCUUCCAAGUGGACGUGCAGGAAAGCUGGGUCUACAGUACCUUAGAGAUGACUCUGCAGUGCUCUAAGCUUUUGACUUCUCUUUCUAGGUUCCCUUGUUUUCCUAACAAUGUGUCUCUUUGUGUUACUUUAUUCUAAUCUGAUUUUAAUGACCAUUUUCUGCCAUCACUGAGAAAUCCUCAGGUACGGGGACCCAACACCACAAAUAAAGUAGAAAAAGCUCUUCUCACUGAUAACUGGGCCAGCAUUGCUCUUUUACCUUGUUAAUACCUGUAGGGGGCAGGGUUGCCCAUGUAAUGAACUAAAGAGACAGCUGAGUUUUAAAUUUUUCAAAACCUUAUUGUUCAGAUCCUUUCCAUUCGAUGCCCCUUGAUGACUUCUUCACCUGUCAGUGAUUUUACUGAUGUGUAGGUUAAAUUCAACAAAGUCAGAUGAAUCUAGUAAAUUUAAAAUACUUUAAUG
This 4737-nucleotide long non-coding RNA is filed under the name Sus scrofa (pig). RNAcentral describes it as "lncRNA (ENSSSCG00000058565.1)". The record is from RNAcentral. Lineage: Eukaryota; Metazoa; Chordata; Mammalia; Artiodactyla; Suidae.